Long non-coding RNA from Bicyclus anynana (squinting bush brown), 1706 nucleotides. RefSeq lists it as uncharacterized. NCBI's taxonomy places the organism in Eukaryota, Metazoa, Arthropoda, Insecta, Lepidoptera, Nymphalidae. The record is from RefSeq and is a predicted model, not a curated record. The transcript is spliced from 2 exons.
CGGCUUCCAGAUGCGCCCCUUAGUUAUUGUUUGCCAUUUGAAAUUACAUCUUACACCGUGGGCAUAUGAGUGUUUAUGCAUUGUAUUGGUAUUUGUUUAAGUAUUUGGAAAAAAAAUGCUUCAUGAAUGAACGGAGGUCGGUUCACGGCUGUAGCCGGGCAUUUUGCCGACAGUUCCUGCGCGAUUAAUAGCUCGACAGUGUAGUGGAGUGUUUUUUGCCGUAAUUUAAGGUGCAAUAGUAGGUUUUAUACGAGAUUUUGAAGGGGCAAAAGCAGAAUGUUACCCGAAUAUCCGACAAUAUCAAAAACAGAAGCCUACCCACCUGCAAACAUAACAGCACAAGAGCUCUACUUUAUACUAUCAAAAAUAUUCCUCCAGGAGAAUCAGCAAAGUGCUAAUAGUCCAGAAGAACCGGAUGGUAUUGCCAGUUUUAAUUUAAACAAUGAUGAUAUGAAGAGAUUGCUAAUGGAAUAUGCCUAUAGAGGCAGUAAUAUAUCAUAUUAUAGAUAACAAACUAGUCAAUUAUAAUUAUACUUAGUCAAAUAUAAGGGUAGGAGUAAAUUACGUAAUGCGUUAAAGGGGUGGGACAGGAGUAUGACAAGGGGUAUCCCCCCUUUUAAGCUUCGUGACGGAACAAACGUCACUCGUAACGAAAUGAGGUAAAAAUAAUUAUUAUAUAAUUUGUACUUUAAUAUAAGUAUUAUGCAAUUUAGGAGACAUAAUCAGCAUUAGAUAUAUGUUUAUAUGUACUCAUAUUUAUAUUAACAAAGCUAUAAAUUUAUUUCAAGAUUAUAUAAUUUGAUAUUUUAAAAAUCUUUAACAUAAUCUUAAGGAAAAUGAAUGAAGGAAUAUUAAUUAUAAUUAUCACGCAAUUAGAAACGUUAUUUCAUGCAAUAAAUACCAAAGAUACGAGACAAUGAUUAUAUUUUUAUUCUAGUUUUUAUUUUUACAUUAAAUAAAGUGUUCAGUUUCUUAUAGUGUUUUUAUAGCGUAUUUACAAUCUAAAAUCUAAGAAAGCUGAAAUGGCAACGGGCAGGGCGCACAGUUAGAAGAACCGAUAGAUGUCAGGGGUCCCAAAGUGCUGGAAUGGCGACCCCGCACUGGAAAGCGCAGAGUCGACCUCCCACUAGGUGGACCGAGGACAUUAAUUGGGUUGCAGGGAGUAGGACGCUGGCGGCUCGAGACGUUUUUUUCGGAAGUCCAUGCAAGAGGCCUAUGUCCAGCAGUCAUCCAUCGGCUGUUAAUGAUGAUGAUGAUGAUUAUGAUGAUGACUAUGAUGAUGACUAUGAUGAUGAUUUACAAUAAAUAUGUUAAGAACAAGUAGUCUGCUAUAUAUACACCUACUCAUAUCUUACUAUGACUGUAUAAGCUAGUUAGGCGGUCAGAAAUAUUUAUAGACGUAAAUUACUAACUAUAACGUGAUUCUUUACAUUUUAGACAUGCAUUGUUUUUUUUAAAAAACUGGGUAGAGCCUUCUAAUAGAAAUGAGGAAUAUACUGCUUAUGCCCACCAAAGUCCAAGCUGCUAUUUGGUUGUAAAUUCUAUGUUAAUUUGGAAAUCAUAUGUAAAUCUAUACACAUUUUUUUUGUUUAAUGCCAAAGUAAAUAUUCUAGUGAAUAGGUAAUUAAAAAUAGGUAGUACAAUUUUUUUUUGUAAAUUAGAUGUUAUCAUGAUGUUUUAGCAAAUAAAUUUGGUAUAUGAUAUAA